Molecule: ribosomal RNA, 583 nt
Filed under: uncultured bacterium
Lineage: Bacteria
Description: bacterial SSU rRNA
Rfam family: Bacterial small subunit ribosomal RNA
Source: RNAcentral
CUACGGGAGGCAGCAGUGGGGAAUUUUGGACAAUGGGGGCAACCCUGAUCCAGCCAUGCCGCGUGCGGGAAGAAGGCCUUCGGGUUGUAAACCGCUUUCGGCCGGAACGAAAUCGGCGGGAUGAAUAGUCUCGCUGGAUGACGGUACCGGAAGAAGAAGCACCGGCUAACUACGUGCCAGCAGCCGCGGUAAUACGUAGGGUGCGAGCGUUAAUCGGAAUUACUGGGCGUAAAGCGUGCGCAGGCGGCCGCGUAAGCCAGAGGUGAAAUCCCCGGGCUCAACCUGGGAAUGGCCUUUGGGACUGCGUGGCUCGAGUGCGGCAGAGGGGGGUGGAAUUCCUGGUGUAGCAGUGAAAUGCGUAGAUAUCAGGAGGAACACCGAUGGCGAAGGCAGCCCCCUGGGCCAGCACUGACGCUCAUGCACGAAAGCGUGGGGAGCAAACAGGAUUAGAUACCCUGGUAGUCCACGCCCUAAACGAUGACGACUAGUUGUUGGGGGAGCAAUCCCUUAGUAACGUAGCUAACGCGUGAAGUCGUCCGCCUGGGGAGUACGGUCGCAAGAUUAAAACUUAAAGGAAUUGACG